RNAcentral lists this small nucleolar RNA (75 nucleotides) under Brassica napus (rape). Its description in RNAcentral is "snoRNA snoR66". It matches the Rfam family "Small nucleolar RNA R66". From Rfam's summary of the family: snoR66 is a C/D box small nucleolar RNA, which acts as a methylation guide for 18S ribosomal RNA in plants. snoR66 has been alternatively named snoZ269 in rice. RNAcentral also lists the same sequence under 1 other name. The record is from Rfam by way of RNAcentral. Lineage: Eukaryota; Viridiplantae; Streptophyta; Magnoliopsida; Brassicales; Brassicaceae.
UCCAAUGAUGGCAUGAAAUCUUUGAGACCUGAUUUUUAUUGAUGAAACGCUGUAAGCAUUUUUACUCUUGAGGAU